GACGGAGGAUGCAAGCGUUAUCCGGAAUGAUUGGGCGUAAAGCGUCCGCAGGUGGCAGUUCAAGUCUGCUGUCAAAGACCGGGGCUUAACUUCGGAAAGGCAGUGGAAACUGAACAGCUAGAGUAUGGUAGGGGCAGAGGGAAUUCCUGGCGUAGCGGUGAAAUGCGUAGAGAUCAGGAAGAACAUCGGUGGCGAAGGCGCUCUGCUGGACCAUAACUGACACUCAGGGACGAAAGCUAGGGGAGCGAAUGGG
Molecule: ribosomal RNA, 253 nt
Filed under: uncultured bacterium
Lineage: Bacteria
Description: partial 16S ribosomal RNA
Rfam family: Bacterial small subunit ribosomal RNA
Source: RNAcentral